AGGUGCCAUUAUGGCCACUGCCACGUACUAGAAAGAACCUUGGGUGUGGAGACCUGGAGCUGAUCUGUGUGACUUCAGACUGUCUCUCCUCCUUUUCUGAGCCUGUUUCCCCUUGUAUGAGGCAAGGGAGCCUAUUGCGCAAAACAGGCCAUAGUCACACUGCUCAGAGUGAAGCAGGUGGGGGCCUGGGGCUCACCCUUCCCUUGGUUUUCACAGAAGCCAUCGAGAUGCCUCCAAGGACCCCAAGGCUCUGAGGGACUCAGGAUCCUCAAAGUGCCCCCCCGCCCCGCCUUGUUCAUAUUGCCUCCCUGCCAGCUCGCAUCCCCUCAAAGACAAAGCCAGGUGGAUGCUUCUCUCUGGCCAGUGGCAGUCUGCUUCCUGAGCUACUGUCCCCUCUCCCAAACAGGGUAAGCCUCCCCAUUGCCACUCCCACAGCUCUGCCUGAGGCAUGGAGCACCAGGUUCUCAGCUCAUGUGCGAUUCUUCCCGCUUCAGGCCUCAGUGUCUCUGUGCGCAUGGACCUGUCAGACUCAGGGGACUGCAGAGGCCUGUCCAGCUGUGACAGCAAGACCACAGACAGUCCGGAGAUGGACUGGCAGGGUCUGGGCUUACAGUGCCUGGCUCGGGGCCAGUGCCUACAGGGAAGUCCCGCCUGUCCCCUGGGCAGGUGGAGCGGGCUGCACAGAGCCUUUCCCACAUUCCUGGCCAGCCCGGCCUCCUUAUAUAGCUGUUUCCAGGCUGGGUCCGUGCUCUGUGCCCCAAGGGAGCAGACCUUCUGUGGCGACCAGGCCUGGGCCUGCUCGCUGGGUUCCUGGGGAGGCUCUUUCCCCAGAUUGCUGAACGGGUAUGUCUUCCCGAGUAAUCCCAAUCACAUCCAUAGUCAAAGGGAGAGCUGUAUAGAUGCGCCAGAGGUGAGGCUUCUGGCUAAGUCAUGCUAAGGAAGGGGAAUAUUUACUUGUAGCCACAGACCCAGCUUCCUUCCCUUGGGGCAGGUGCUACUGGCGUUGACCGAGGCAGGGCUAAUGGAAGAGCCCCCUUCCCGGCCCUUGCAAGCCUGUCACUGCGCCAGGGUCCCAAGUAGGCCCUGAAGAUGGUACCCUUCCCCAGUUCCCACCCCUGGGAUAGUGUCACUGAGUCCUCCUUCCCCGACCAAGGAUCUGGCACCUGGCCACUUUUCUGAAGCCUCUUUAUCCCAUCUGUGGCCCCAGACUCAGGAGCCAAGCUUUCCCAGAGCCACAGGGACAUAAGCACCAGCUGCGUCCAGAUCCCCUAGUAUUUAUUCGCUUUAUUGCUACUUGUUAUGAAAGCAGUCUUUCAACUUUAUUAAAGGAAAAUUGAAAAAACAUCAUCUGUAAUCCUACCCCAGGCCCUCCAGCCACCUCCUGUGGUCUGAGCCCACGACACCGGCACUGCCUUGGCGUGCUGACAGAUCGGCGUUCUGCCGUUUCUCACUCCAGGCAUGACCCACGGGCUCCCUUGACACGGCUGACCUCCGUGUAGGCCACCUGAACAUCGUCCCCCUCAGGAGCUCUGUGCUCUCUCUGUUCCAUGCUUCCCUCAGGAGGUUCCCCAGAGCGGGACUUCUGGGCCACCACGUGUGGGCGUCUUUAUGGCCCUCGGUUUGUAUUGCCAAGUGCAGAUCUUGUUUCAGAGGCCUUGCUGGAGUUGCACCAAGAGUCCUGGCUAGAAUAAUGGGGCCCAAACAGCAUCCUGAGGCCCCAGCAGAGAGAAGGGGGGCUCCUUGACCUAGCCUCUCUCAUCCCAGAAAUAAGGUGUAUCCAUCCUGCCUUGGCCCCAGCAGAUCUUGCCCCACUCAGGCACCCCAAGGGCUGCUUGGUGCAUUUGGGGUCCCACUGCCCAGUCACACUGACCUGACUUCCAGGCCCCUGCCUCCUGCAAACCACCCUCUGGCCCUCCUCUUUCCGACCACGCCUGUGCUUCUCCCAGGCUGGGCUUAUGGAGAGCAGGCCAGUUCACUGCUCUGUCCUCCAGUCCUAGGGAGCCUGUCGGCGAGAUGAGCCGUGCAAGGGGUGGUGGUGGUUUGGUCGGAUUCUGGACCAUUCAGAAGGGGCGCCAGCACCUAACUCCCACCUGAGCCUGCUCCUGCUCAGUACACGUUCCCAUCCCCAGCCAAGGUCCACAGGACAUUCGCAGUUUGCCUGCUUAUCUGAGGCCACGGCGGUGUUUGGCUUGCAGAUCCCAAUUUCCCAGAACCUGCCCCCACAGGGGCGGGGCAGCGAGCAAGUUACAAAUUCAUUCCGCUCUUCCUCGCAAGUUCAGAAGCGGCCUGCCAGGCACCAGAGCCAAAAUGAAGACCCCAGCCCCUGGCCGCGCCUGCGGCGUCGUGCUGGUCCUGCUCUCGCUGGCCACCCUCCAGACCCUCAGGGCCCAAAAGAACGACAUCGACAUCUACAGCCUCACUGUAGACUCCAGGGUCUCAUCCCGAUUUGCCCACACAGUCGUCACCAGCCGGGUGGUCAACAAGGCCAGUACUUUGCAGGAGGUCACCUUCCAGAUGGAGCUGCCCAAGAAGGCCUUUAUCACCAACUUCUCCAUGAUCAUUGAUGGUGUGACCUACCCCGGUAACAUCAAGGAGAAGGCUGCAGCCCAGGAGCAGUACAGCGCGGCUGUGGAGAGGGGAGAGAGCGCCGGCCUCGUCAAGGCCACUGGGAGAAAGACAGAGCAGUUCCAGGUGUCAGUCAGUGUGGCGCCCGCUGCCAAGAUCACCUUCGAGCUGGUGUAUGAGGAGCUCCUGGUGCGGCAUCUGGGAGCGUACGAGCUGCUGCUGAAAGUCCAGCCCCAGCAGCUGGUCAAGCACCUGCAGAUGGACAUUUACAUCUUUGAGCCUCAGGGCAUCAGCUUUCUGGAGACAGAGAGCACCUUCAUGACCAAUGAACUGGCAGAGGCCCUCACCACCACACAGAACAAGACCAAGGCUCAUGUCCGAUUCAGGCCGACGCUGUCCCAGCAGCAAAAGUCUCCAGAGCAGCAGCAGGACACAGUCCUGGAUGGCAACUUCAUCGUCCGCUAUGAUGUGGACCGGACUGUCUCCGGGGGUUCCAUUCAGAUCGAGAAUGGCUACUUUGUGCACUACUUUGCCCCUGAGCACCUGGCCACGAUACCCAAGAACGUGAUCUUUGUCAUUGACAAGAGCGGCUCCAUGAGCGGCAGGAAAAUCCAGCAGACCCGGGAAGCCCUCAUCAAGAUCCUGGGUGACCUCGGUCCCCGUGACCAGUUCAACCUCAUCAGCUUCAGUGGGGAAGCAACCCCAUGGAAGCCACAGCUAGUGGCAGCCUCGGCUGAGAACGUGAAUGAGGCCAAGAGCUACGCCACUGCCAUCCAGGCCCAGGGAGGGACCAAUAUAAACGAUGCGAUACUGAUGGCCGUGCAGCUGCUAGAGAGAGCCAACCGGGAGGAGCUGCUGCCCCCAGGAAGCGUCACCCUCAUCAUCCUCCUCACCGACGGCGACCCCACUGUGGGGGAAACCAACCCCUCAGAGAUCCAGAAGAACGUUCAGGAAGCCAUAGACGGCCAGCACAGCCUCUUCUGCCUGGGCUUCGGCUUCGACGUCAGCUACGCCUUCCUGGAGAAGCUGGCACUGGACAACGGUGGCCUGGCCCGGCGCAUCUAUGAGGACUCGGACUCCGCACUGCAGCUCCAGGACUUCUACCAAGAGGUGGCCAACCCACUGAUGACAUCGGUGGCCUUCGAGUACCCAAGCAACACCGUGGAGGCGGUCACACAGGACGCCUUCCGGCUGUUCUUCAAGGGCUCCGAGUUGGUGGUGGCCGGGAAGCUCCGGGACCAGAGCCCUGAUGUGUUCUCAGCCAAAGUCAGGGGGCAGCUGCACAUGGGGAACAUCACCUUUGUAACGGAGUCCCGCGUGGCAGAGCAGGAGAAGGCGUUCUGGAGCCCCAGAUACAUCUUCCACAGCUUCAUGGAGAGACUGUGGGCGUACCUGACCAUCCAGCAACUGCUGGAGCAAACAGUCUCCACGCCAGAUGCUGAGAAGCAGGCUCUUGAGGCCCGAGCUCUGAACUUGUCGCUCAGCUACAGUUUUGUCACCCCGCUCACGUCCAUGGUGAUCACCAAACCCGAAGGUCAAGAGCAGUCUCAGGUUGCUGAGAAACCCGUGGAAAAUGAAAACAGACACAGGAAUGUCCACUCAGGUCACACUCUCUUCAGAUAUCAUUCCGUGGGAGGCAAAGCGUCCAGAGUAUCAGGAGGCAGCAGUGCAGACCCUGUCUUUUCUAAAAGAAGAGGCUGGAGAGGACAAGGACCACCUGGACCUCUUCAUCCUCCUCGUCUUCCUCAUCCACCCCACCGUACACCCUGGAGACCAACGCCACCAGACGUGAUGCCACGGCUAUCAGCUACCUCAUUUCUUGAUGAACAUGACAUGGACUUAAGAAUCAAAGAAACAACCGCGGCAUCCCCACACCACGCCCCCAUCCAGCCUCCUUCUGUCAUCCUGCCGCUGCCUGGGCGGAGCGUGGACCGGCUCUGUGUGGACCUCAAGCGCUCUCAGGGACCGACAAACCUGCUCUCAGACCCUGGCCAAGGGAUUGAGGUGACUGGCCACUAUGAGACAGAGAAGGGCCACUUCUCGUGGAUUGAGGUGACCUUCGAGAAACCCCAGCUGCAGGUUCGUGCAUCCCCUGAGCACGUGGUAGUGACUCGGAACCGAAGAAGCUCUGCAUACAAGUGGAAGAAAACUCUGUACUCGGUGAUGCCAGGUCUCAAGAUGACCAUGGACAAGGCGGGGCUUCUGCUGCUCAGCAGCCCUGACAGAGUGACCAUCGGCCUGCUGUCCUGGGACGGCCCUGGGGCGGGGCUCCGGCUCCUUCUGCGGGACACUGACCGCUUCUCCAGCCACAUCAGUGGGACCCUUGGCCAGUUUUACCAGGACGUGCUCUGGGAGCCCCUGGCAGCAGCAGAUGACAGCAAGCGAACACUGAAGGUCCAGGGGCAUGACCACUCUGCCACCAGAGACCUCAAGCUGGACUACCAAGAGGGGCCCCCGGGAACAGAGAUUUCCUGCUGGUCUGUGGAGCUGUAGUUCUGAUGCAAGGAGUUAUGCCCACCCGCCGUGCCGCCUGCUGGGUGCAGAUGGCUGCCACCCUGCGACCACAGGGCCACCUGUGGGUCCUGUAACAUCAUGGGGAGAGCCGCAUCGGUGGAGAGGCCCAGGAAGUUGCCUUCCUAGCAGCCAGCCCUUCCUUCGAGCUGCCUGUCCCCUGGAGCAGGGGCUCAUGGAAGCAUGCAGACACUGGUAGCCGUCCGGUUUCUCCU
This is an RNA transcript of Aethalodelphis obliquidens (Pacific white-sided dolphin), 5291 nucleotides long. It is a transcript of the gene named inter-alpha-trypsin inhibitor heavy chain 4, with no coding region annotated. The record is from RefSeq and is a predicted model, not a curated record. The transcript has 25 exons. NCBI's taxonomy places the organism in Eukaryota, Metazoa, Chordata, Mammalia, Artiodactyla, Delphinidae.